RNAcentral lists this ribosomal RNA (496 nucleotides) under uncultured bacterium. RNAcentral's name for it is "bacterial SSU rRNA". It matches the Rfam family "Bacterial small subunit ribosomal RNA", at positions 9 to 526 of the family's 1533-position model. The record is from RNAcentral.
GAGUUUGAUCCUGGCUCAGGAUGAACGCUGGCGGCGCGCCUAACACAUGCAAGUCGAACGGCACCCCUCUCCGGAGGGAAGCGAGUGGCGAACGGCUGAGUAACACGUGGAGAACCUGCCCCCUCCCCCGGGAUAGCCGCCCGAAAGGACGGGUAAUACCGGAUACCCCGGGGCGCCGCAUGGCACCCCGGCUAAAGCCCCGACGGGAGGGGAUGGCUCCGCGGCCCAUCAGGUAGACGGCGGGGUGACGGCCCACCGUGCCGACAACGGGUAGCCGGGUUGAGAGACCGACCGGCCACAUUGGGACUGAGACACGGCCCAGACUCCUACGGGAGGCAGCAGUGGGGGAUAUUGCACAAUGGGGGAAACCCUGAUGCAGCGACGCCGCGUGGAGGAAGAAGGUUUUCGGAUUGUAAACUCCUGUCGUUAGGGACGAUAAUGACGGUACCUAACAAGAAAGCACCGGCUAACUACGUGCCAGCCGCCGCGGUAAUAC